GUCCUCUCAGGGUCGCACCUGGAGAGUUUCCAGGACCCUACCAGCCUCGGCUAUAGGAGGGAGAGUCAAGCAGAGGCCUGUCCGUUCCAUUCGUAGCUUGGCCGGUGGCUAGCGAGUGGCAGGCCAUCUGCUACAAGU
Small nucleolar RNA from Ornithorhynchus anatinus (platypus), 138 nucleotides. Lineage: Eukaryota; Metazoa; Chordata; Mammalia; Monotremata; Ornithorhynchidae. The record is from RefSeq and is a predicted model, not a curated record.